Molecule: ribosomal RNA, 465 nt
Filed under: uncultured bacterium
Lineage: Bacteria
Description: partial 16S ribosomal RNA
Rfam family: Bacterial small subunit ribosomal RNA
Source: RNAcentral
CCUACGGGUGGCAGCAGUGGGGAAUAUUGCGCAAUGGGCGAAAGCCUGACGCAGCGACGCCGCGUGAGGGAUGAAGGUCUUCGGAUCGUAAACCUCUGUCAGCAGGGAAGAACGGUCACUGUGCUAAUCAGCAGUGCAUUGACGGUACCUGCAAAGGAAGCACCGGCUAACUCCGUGCCAGCAGACGCGGUGAUACGGAGGGUGCGAGCGUUAAUCGGAAUGACUGGGCGUAAAGCGCUCGUAGGCGGUAUGUCAAGUCAAGGGUGAAAUCCCCGCGCUCAACGUGGGCACUGCCUUUGAAACUGGCAAACUGGAGUGUGUGAGAGGAUAGUGGAAUUCCAGGUGUAGGAGUGAAAUCCGUAGAUAUCUGGAGGAACAUCAGUGGCGAAGGCGACUAUCUGGCACAUAACUGACGCUGAGGAGCGAAAGCGUGGGUAGCAAACAGGAUUAGAUACCCCAGUAGUC